AUUUUAUUCACCAUCCACAAUUAUUUUUAAAACACUUUCCAGAAAAUGUUAUUCGAUGUAUCACAUCUACCAGGCGUCCAACGACGGUUAUACAUUUAUUUUUGUUAAACGUGUUUUUAAAAAAAUUUGAUUAGUAGUUAUUAAACGUAGUGUACAGUGUAACCCCGCCGGUUGAAGAAACUAUUUAAAUACAUCAUAAUAUAAAUACAGAGGGAAGUCAUAGUGGACUGAGAAAGAUCCAAAAUUGAAAUAGAUCGCGACAUACCCACUGCACGGACAUAACAAACAAAUUUCUAACUCAGAUGCACGAGGAGUUUUCUUAAAAUGAUAGAACCCAUGGAAAAGCACCUAAAAGAUGUACGAAGAUAAAAAUGAAAACUCAGUUCUCUCUCGCCCUAAUAAACUCUAUGUAUUAUAUAGAAUUCCUACUAUUAAGACGUGAACUCUAUUGGUCAAUUUGGAGAUCUUUUGAUUAGACACAGCUUGAGAUGAGUGCAUUAAGUGCAUUAGCAUAUGGUACCAUUGCUGUGCGUCAACAAACAAUAAUGAUACAAGACUAAAUUACGAGUAAAAUAUUAUACACAUAUGCCAUGUGAAUACUUGGGAAAUGUAAAAUACCUUCAUUUGCAAGCAUGGAAAACCAGAUACAGGACCCUGAGCGAUAAUUGUGGGAAGACAAUGGGGUUAAUUGCAGAACUCGGCAAUUGUUAAAAUAUUAAAGUGGUGCAUAAGAAUUUAACUUGAAAAUUGUUAAGUAUUAUGUUAUAUUUUAUUAUGUAACAAUUGUAUAAUCACUAAAAAAAUGUUGUAACUACACAAGGAUAACUGUUACCCGGUAGUCGGCACUCGGAACUUAUAAAAUGAUUUUUUGGAAUGCCAGCGGUAUUUCAAUCUAAAUUCUCAAAUAAAAAAAAGAGAAAUUGCAAGAGGUACUUACAGAAGAAGUCUGAAGUAGUGUACCUACUACCUACAUCAUUCAUUUAUAGAAAUGCAUAUCAGUUUAUAUAGCUAUUGGAAAACGUCUGAAGGAAAUAACUUCCGGUUCCGAGCGUUCCAGCCAAUAGGAUUGUGUAAUACCAACAAUACCAUUCCUGCAUGUAAUCGUUGAAAUUAUUUCUUUGAUUAAAACGGAAAACACACUCAACAGACCGAUACAUUUCUUGCAGUCGCUGGCCGAAAUAAUUAUUGUUGCUCGACUCCUAACAACAUGAAAUCAUAAGCCAUAUAAAAUAUUCGUCACAGUAAAAUUGGCACAGUUUUGAAUCGACGACAUCAUGGGAACUGCUUUCGCAUUACUUCCACGAUGCAUAAAUAAUACUACUAUAAACAUUUGGUAACGAAAAUUUGUGGAAAAUCGUUGUUCAGCAAUAAUUCAUCUACCGCGGUAUAAUGUUUCGACGUCUUAAUUUAAAUGCUAAAUCGAAAACGCGCGGUAAACGUACGACACACCACCAAAAACGGAACCCAACGAAAAGAGUCGACUGAUGGCUGCAACAUCCAAUUAUUAUAAUACCUACUUAAAUCAAUAGUGAC
Long non-coding RNA from Aphis gossypii (cotton aphid), 1533 nucleotides. RefSeq lists it as uncharacterized. Lineage: Eukaryota; Metazoa; Arthropoda; Insecta; Hemiptera; Aphididae. The transcript is spliced from 9 exons. The record is from RefSeq and is a predicted model, not a curated record.